GAUGAACGCUGGCGGCGUGCCUAACACAUGCAAGUCGAGCGAUUCUCUUCGGAGAAGAGCGGCGGACGGGUGAGUAACGCGUGGGUAACCUGCCCUGUACACACGGAUAACAUACCGAAAGGUAUGCUAAUACGAGAUAAUAUGCUUUUAUCGCAUGGUAGAAGUAUCAAAGCUCCGGCGGUACAGGAUGGACCCGCGUCUGAUUAGCUAGUUGGUAAGGUAGCGGCUUACCAAGGCGACGAUCAGUAGCCGACCUGAGAGGGUGAUCGGCCACAUUGGAACUGAGACACGGUCCAAACUCCUACGGGAGGCAGCAGUGGGGAAUAUUGCACAAUGGGCGAAAGCCUGAUGCGGCAACGCCGCGUGAGCGAUGAAGGCCUU
Molecule: ribosomal RNA, 381 nt
Filed under: uncultured bacterium
Lineage: Bacteria
Description: bacterial SSU rRNA
Rfam family: Bacterial small subunit ribosomal RNA
Source: RNAcentral